This 497-nucleotide ribosomal RNA is filed under the name uncultured bacterium. RNAcentral's name for it is "partial 16S ribosomal RNA". It matches the Rfam family "Bacterial small subunit ribosomal RNA", at positions 29 to 507 of the family's 1533-position model. The record is from RNAcentral.
AGUGAACGCUGGCGGUAUGCCUAAUACAUGCAAGUCGAACGGCCGCACAGGAAGCUUUCUCCCCUACGGUUGGCGACUGACGGGCGGGUAAGACGUAGAUCGCAUUCUACUUUUUCUUGGGGGACUUCGUGGGGACACUGAUGCUAAUACCUCAUAUAUUCUACGGCUUAAUUCAGUAGUGCUUGGGACUUUUCCUGAUACAUUUAGCUGAAUCCGCGCCGCAUUAGCUAGUUGGUAAGGUAACGGCUCACCAAGGCAACGAUGCGUAGCCGACCUGAGAGGGUGAUCAGCCACACUGGAACUGAGACACGGUCCAGACUCCUACGGGAGGCAGCAGUGGGGAAUCUUCCACAAUGGGCGAAAGCCUGAUGGAGCCAUGCCGCGUGAGUGAUGAAGGUCUUCGGAUUGUAAAACCCUUUUGUUAGGGAAGAAAAACAGCGUAUGAAACUACGGACGUCUUGACGGUACCCAAACAGAAAGCCACGGCUAACUUCGUG